AAUAACUCACAUAGUUUUCAAACUGGAAGGAAGUAAUUUAAUUCUCCAAUCCUCUGAUUUUUACAGAUGAGGACACUUAGGAUCAGAAAAGCAAAGUGACUUGCUCAAGGUGAUGUAAGUAAAACCCUGAGAAGCUGGUGCAAUUGUCUUCAUUCUACAGCAGAGAAAACUGAGAUCCUUCUAAGGUACCUCUAGGUAAAGUGACUGACUGCUUUGGGAUCAUAUAUUUAGUA
This 233-nucleotide long non-coding RNA is filed under the name Monodelphis domestica (gray short-tailed opossum). RNAcentral describes it as "lncRNA (ENSMODG00000036692.1)". Lineage: Eukaryota; Metazoa; Chordata; Mammalia; Didelphimorphia; Didelphidae. The record is from RNAcentral.